Molecule: ribosomal RNA, 301 nt
Filed under: uncultured bacterium
Lineage: Bacteria
Description: partial 16S ribosomal RNA
Rfam family: Bacterial small subunit ribosomal RNA
Source: RNAcentral
CAGUCGCCGCGGGAAUACAGAGGGUGCGAGCUUUAAUCGGAUUUACUGGGCGUAAAGCGUGCGUAGGCGGCUUCUUAAGUCGGAUGUGAAAUCCCUGAGCUUAACUUAGGAAUUGCAUUCGAUACUGGGAAGCUAGAGUAUGGGAGAGGAUGGUAGAAUUCCAGGUGUAGCGGUGAAAUGCGUAGAGAUCUGGAGGAAUACCGAUGGCGAAGGCAGCCAUCUGGCCUAAUACUGACGCUGAGGUACGAAAGCAUGGGGAGCAAACAGGAUUAGAUACCCCUGUAGUCCCUGUCUCUUAUAC